UAUUAAAAUUUAAUCCAUUUCUAUUAUUAUAAACUAGUGUUGCUGACAGAAUAACUAAAUAAUAAUUACAAGUAAUGUGCCACGUGUGCCUCAUUCUAACCUAUAAGGACCAAUUUUUAACGGUAAAAAUAGAUGAUAAAAUUAUUAAUA
Non-coding RNA from Gossypium hirsutum (cotton), 150 nucleotides. NCBI's taxonomy places the organism in Eukaryota, Viridiplantae, Streptophyta, Magnoliopsida, Malvales, Malvaceae. The record is from Rfam.